This 468-nucleotide ribosomal RNA is filed under the name uncultured bacterium. RNAcentral's name for it is "partial 16S ribosomal RNA". It matches the Rfam family "Bacterial small subunit ribosomal RNA", at positions 28 to 507 of the family's 1533-position model. The record is from RNAcentral.
GACGAACGCUGGCGGCGUGCUUAACACAUGCAAGUCGAACGGAAAGGCCCUGCUUUUGUGGGGUGCUCGAGUGGCGCACGGGUGUGUAACACGUGAGUAACCUGCCCUUGACUUUGGGAUAACUUCAGGAAACUGGGGCUAAUACCGGCUACGAGCUCCUGCUGCAUGGUGGGGGUUGGAAAGUUUAGGCGGUUGGGGAUGGACUCGGGGUUUAUCAGCUUGUUGGUGGGGUAGUGGCUUACCAAGGCUUUGACGGGUAGCCGGCCUGGGAGGGGGACCGGCGACAUUGGGACUGAGGUAGGGCCCAGACUCCUACGGGGGGCAGCAGUGGGGAGUAUUGCACAAUGGGCGGAAGCCUGAUGCAGCGGCGCCGCGUGCGGGAUGACGGCCUUCGGGUUGUAAACCGCUUUCGGCUGUGACGAAGCGUGAGUGACGGUAAUGGGUAAAGAAGCACCGGCUAACUACGUG